CCUACGGGAGGCAGCAGUGGGGAAUUUUGCGCAAUGGGGGAAACCCUGACGCAGCAACGCCGCGUGAGUGAUGAAGGCCUUCGGGUCGUAAAGCUCUGUCAGAGGGAAAGAAAUGCGGGAGGGUUAAUACCCCUUUUGCUUGACGGUACCCUCAAAGGAAGCACCGGCUAACUCCGUGCCAGCAGCCGCGGUAAU
This 195-nucleotide ribosomal RNA is filed under the name uncultured bacterium. RNAcentral describes it as "partial 16S ribosomal RNA". It matches the Rfam family "Bacterial small subunit ribosomal RNA", at positions 338 to 524 of the family's 1533-position model. The record is from RNAcentral.